Molecule: ribosomal RNA, 372 nt
Filed under: uncultured eukaryote
Lineage: Eukaryota
Description: partial 18S ribosomal RNA
Rfam family: Eukaryotic small subunit ribosomal RNA
Source: RNAcentral
CAAUAGCGUAUAUUAAAGUUGUUGCAGUUAAAAAGCUCGUAGUUGAAUUUCUGUACAUUCCCGGUGCCGGCUCUUGUCGAACCGUGGAGUGUGCAUCCGCUUACAAACUUAGCCCGGUCUUCAUUGGUCGACUAAGGGAGUAGGCCCUUUACUUUGAAAAAAUUAGAGUGUUUAAAGCAGGCGUUUGCAUUGAAUACAUUAGCAUGGAAUAAUAAGAUACGACUUUGGUGGUCUAUUUUGUUGGUUUGCACACCAGAGUAAUGAUUAAUAGGGACAGUUGGGGGUAUUCAUAUUUCAGCGUCAGAGGUGAAAUUCUUGGAUCGCUGAAAGAUGAGCUUAGGCGAAAGCAUUUACCAUGGAUGUUUUCAUUAA